This 3823-nucleotide long non-coding RNA is filed under the name Homo sapiens (human). RNAcentral describes it as "PREDICTED lncRNA (TCONS_00218610)". Lineage: Eukaryota; Metazoa; Chordata; Mammalia; Primates; Hominidae. The record is from RNAcentral.
GUUCCAAGCUGCAGUGAGCCAAGGUCACACCAUUGCACUCUAGCCUGGGUGACAGAGCAAGACCCUGUCUCUAAAAAAAAAAAAAAAGAGAGAGAGAGAGAAUACAGGAUAACAUCAUGAAAACUUCCUAAAAUACUGAGGAGUUGUCCAAGGAAUGUUAGGUCUAUAAGCAGUAGCAGAGUAGAAUUGCAGCCAACAGAGUAACUGAGGGUGAGUGGUAAAUCUAAAGCUGGCUGUAAGGAGGCAGCAGGGAAUAAAAUGCCAAAAGCAGCAGAUCCUCUAUUUGUAUCUCUAUUCGUAUCUCAGCUGAGGAGGGCGACCAGAUGCAUGAAAACAACUGACCAAGAGCCUGGAAAGAGAACAUUAGGUUGUUUCUUCCUCCCCACAUGCAAGGGAAAUGGUCAUAGUCUUAGAAAUAGAUUGGAAUAGAUAUUCUCUGCUCACCAUCUACCACCCCAUAAUACCGGCACUGAGCAUCUGUUUUGGUGAUUUGCUAAGGGUCAAUUAAGCUUUAGAAGCUCUUAGCAUAAAAAUAUGAUGAGUCCUCCACGUUAGUGAUCAGAAUAAGACCUAAAGAGUGAAGCACAACUUGCAGGAAUGCUGAAAUCAAAAUUGCUUUUUUCUAGAUGUUUUGAUUGCUAAAACCUGUGUGAUUUCACGAAGCUUAACUUUGCUCAUUGGCAUGGGGUUGGUGGCUCAGCUUUGCUAGUGUCUGUGCCCAAGCUGAGUCGGCCUGCUGGUUUAUCUACCGUGGACGUGUCCAGAUCCAGAAGCUGGAAAUGGCAGAUGGAGAGGGGACAGCACUCAUAAGGCUUGCACAGGUUCACUGUGGAAAGACUUUCUGAAUCCAUUUCCCUCCGAAGGGGCCACAGAUCCUAGGCCUCAGCACCCCUAGGCAGGCGGUAGCCCUCCUUCUCACCAGGGGCUGCUGCAUUGGAGCCGUGGAAGUGCCCUGGUGGUCACUUUGCAGUUUAACUUCCAGGCUGCACAGUAACACCACUGGAGGGAAAAUGUCUGUGUUUGAAGUAAUCAUAGGCUUUCUCCUCUAAUACCAGCCUGCCCUGCCAACGUGCCAGCAGCACAAAGGGCCCCACUAUUUAUCCUCCAUCACAGAGUAAGUGGCCUAUCCCCCCGCCGCUUGGCUCCAAGCUCCCUGUCUGGACAGGACACAGCUGGGCUUUCAUCUAAGGAGGGGAGAACUCCAGCUGAUUACUUUUGUUUGGCCUUCACUGAAGACAACAGAGCAGGAGGUACUUUUGCAUUUUGUCUUGUGGUGAAAGUCCCAAUGUGGGGUAACUCAAGAAGAUUUUCUCCUCAAGCAAAGGCUAACUCGUGGGGAAGAAUCACAAUUUUUUAAAAAUGACCAUUAAGAAGAUCAGCCAGAAUUUUAUGCAGAAAACAUGUAUUACUUGCAUCAUCAGAAAAAUAAAACUGCAUUAACUUAAAGAGGAAAAAAGAGGAAAUUAUCUGAAUAUUUUAAGCAAUUAUCUUAAGGAUAAAUUGGGUUUUCUCCUCACUCUCUCAAUGGCAGUCUCCUAUAACCUAAUGGCCCCAACUUUCACCUGUAAACUGGAGUUCCCAAAAUUUAUAUCCUCACACCCAUCUUUCAUAUAAGCCUCCAACUUACAUAUACCCAACUGACUACUUGGCAUCUCACUUUAUGUAUAUCACAACCUCUUCACAUUUAACACCUCAAAUACUGAAAUUCUUUCUUCUUUCAUGAUCUUCCCCCAAUUUUUACCUCCUUCUAGAUUCUUUCCUUCUAGAUUCUUGCUUUUACCUCCUUCUAGAUUCCUUCCAUACAAUCAAUUAUCAUUCCCAUUGUUCAAGUUACCCUAUGUCUCCUCUUUUCCUUCUUCCUUUAUCCUAUCAAUUUAUCUUAUUAUAACAGCUAACUUUUACUGAGCAUAAAUUCUGUGCCAGAUAUUAUUCUAAUUGCUUUAUACGUACUAUUACAUUUAAUCCUCACAACUCCAAUAAAUAAGUGCUAUUAUAACCCCCACUUUACAGAUAAAGAAACAGAAGUACAGAGAUGUUUUAUAAUUCUCUAUAUAAUGUCAUAAAAAUAGGCUAGUAGGAGAUCAAUGAUUUGGAUCCAGGCUGAUUUGCUCCAGAGCCUAGGCUCUUAACCUCAAUGCUAUACUGCUUUCUAAAAUUAUUGUGUAUUUAUAUAAAUUUAAAUGUGUGCAUUUUCAUCCCAUAGAUACUACCUAAAGUUCUGACCAUGAUGUAGGUAGAUAAUUCAUCCUUCAGAAUUAAGUUUCUAAUGCACAAAUGUUUUCUUGUCACCAUCCACUUAAUUUCAACGGAUCAUUUUCUGAAUUUGUCAUUUUCAGAGGCGUAUUGCUACAUUUGGGGCAAUGCGUACAUAUGUGGUUUCGUUAGCUCCAGCGGGGGCUAAUCCUCUGACAGAGCCACCUCUCACACGAAACACUGAAUGGAGGCGAUCCCGAGAUGGAUGGAGCAGCAGCAGCGCAGGUUGCUGCAGCUGUGCUGCCAGAGAUUGUAAUUCAGGAACCAAUCUCAAGCUGAGCAGAGGAAAAAAUGAGAUGCUUCAUGAAAAUGGCCAAAUGUCAUCACCAGCUAUUUUGUGAGAAGAGCUAUGUUAGGAGCCAUCCACAUGUAAAAUGGACUUUCACCAAAUUCCAUCCAUCUGCCGGUCAUGGAAGCUCACAACAUGUAUGUCUCCUGAGGGAGCCUUUUCGUUUUGUGCUUUUUCUGGCACUAAGAAAUACAGACACUUGUGAUUUACUACUGGGCACUUAUAGGAAUGGAGUCAACUAUUUCCUAAGAAACUCAAAGACUGAAAUGAGAAAUUCAGAAAAUAAAAAUAUUUUCUGUGUUAGAAAACUAUAUACCAGAAAGCCUGAAAAGUGAGGCAAAGGGCACGAAAUUCUGGUUAAUAAGAUGUUGUAGAUUAGUGAGAACUUGAAAAUGUUUUUGCUUCUAGUAUAUUUUUUGGAAUUUCUAAACUAUAUUAGCUCCCUUUCUUACCUUAGGAAUUACAGUAUUGUGAUCAUGUGAGAAGAUAGUUCUAAAUAUUAAUAAAUAUUUUUAACUUCAUCAAAUACGUCUUUGAAGAUUUCGUGUUUUGAUGUUUGAGGUCAUAGUACCAUAACAUAGAGCAGGGAUGCAGCAUUGAAGAAUUAAAGGGCGCCAAGUUAGAAAUCUAAGAAUCCAACUUUAUCAUUUAUCAAUUCCAUACCCUCGAGCCAGUCAUUUAACCUCCAAAGUUUCAGGUACUUUAGCUGUAAAAUAAAUGGAAAAGGAUAUCUCUACCAUGUUACACUCUGUAUUCCUACCCAGCUCAAAAACAGGAACUUACUAAUACUUCUCACCACACAGGCAAGUCUUUGGGACUGCUGUGAUUUGGUUAUUUGUUUGUCCUCACCCAAAGCUCAUGUUGAAAUUUGAUCCCCAAUUUGUGGUGGUGUGGUUGGGCCUAGUGGAAGAUAUUUGGGUCCUGGGGGCAGAUUCUUCAUGAAAGGCUUGGUGCUAUCCUCCAGGUAAUGAGUGUGCGUUCUCCUUCUGGCUAGACAGAAUUAGUCCUCAUGGGAAUGGGUUAUUUCCCUUGAGCAUGGGUUGUUAUAAAGAAAGAGAGGUCCCACUUCCUGUUUGGUCCCACUUCAUACAUGCCUGCUUCCCCUUUGACUUCCUAGGCCAUGUUUUGAUGCAGCACAAAAGCCCUCACCAGAAGCCAAGCAGAUGCUGGUGCCAUGCUUCUUGUACAACCUGCAGCACUAUGAGCCAAUUAAGCCUCUUUUCUUUAUGAACUGUCCAGCCUCAGGCAUCCCUUUACAGCACCCCAAAUGGGUUAAGACAG